AUUGAACGCUGGCGGCAGGCCUAACACAUGCAAGUCGAGCGGAGCGGCGGACGGGUGAGUAAUGCCUAGGAAUCUGCCUGGUAGUGGGGGAUAACGUCCGGAAACGGGCGCUAAUACCGCAUACUAUCAGAUGAGCCUACGUCGGAUUCGCGAGUUGGUGGGGUAAAGGCCUACCAAGGCGACGAUCCGUAACGGGUCUGAGAGGAUGAUCAGUCACACUGGAACUGAGACACGGUCCAGAGUCCUACGGUAGUCAGCAGUGGGGAAGAUGGGACAAUGGGCGAAAUCCUGAUCCAGCCAUGCCGCGUGUGUGAAGAAGGUCUUCGGAUUGUAAAGCACUUGAAGUUGGGAGGCGUUACCAACAGAAGAAGCACCGGCGAACUUCGUGCCAGCAGCCGCGGUAAUAC
This 407-nucleotide ribosomal RNA is filed under the name uncultured bacterium. RNAcentral's name for it is "partial 16S ribosomal RNA". It matches the Rfam family "Bacterial small subunit ribosomal RNA", at positions 30 to 526 of the family's 1533-position model. The record is from RNAcentral.